This 215-nucleotide ribosomal RNA is filed under the name uncultured bacterium. RNAcentral describes it as "partial 16S ribosomal RNA". It matches the Rfam family "Bacterial small subunit ribosomal RNA", at positions 1286 to 1500 of the family's 1533-position model. The record is from RNAcentral.
UCUCAGUUCGGAUUGAAGGCUGAAAUUCGCCUUCAUGAAGCUGGAAUUGCUAGUAAUGGCAGGUCAGCAUACUGCCGUGAAUACGUUCCCGGGCCUUGUACACACCGCCCGUCACACCAUGAGAGUUGGGGAUACCCGAAGCCUGUGAGCCAACAGAAAUGAGGCAGCAGUCGAAGGUAGAAUCAAUGAUUGGGGUGAAGUCGUAACAAGGUAGC